GACGAACGCUGGCGGCGUGCCUAAUACAUGCAAGUAGGACGCAGUUGCGAACGGGUGAGUAACGCGUAGGUAACUGACUAUUAGCGGGGGAUAACUAUUGGAAACGAUAGCUAAUACCGCAUACUAGUAGAUGGACCUGCGUUGUAUUGGCUAGUAGGUAGGGUAAUGGACUACCUAGGCGACGAUACAUAGCCGGCCUGAGAGGGUGAUCGGCCAAACUGGUACUGAGACAGGGCCCAGAAUCCUACGGUAGGCAGCAGUAGAGAAUCUUAGGCAAUGGGGGGAACCCUGACCGAGCAACGCGGCGUAAGUGAGGAAGGUUUUCGGAUCGGAAAGCUCUUUUGUUAAGGAAGCGGUACUUAACCAGAAAGGGACGGCUAACUACGUGCCAGCAGCCGCGGUAAUAC
RNAcentral lists this ribosomal RNA (407 nucleotides) under uncultured bacterium. RNAcentral's name for it is "partial 16S ribosomal RNA". It matches the Rfam family "Bacterial small subunit ribosomal RNA", at positions 28 to 526 of the family's 1533-position model. The record is from RNAcentral.